RNAcentral lists this long non-coding RNA (723 nucleotides) under Ananas comosus (pineapple). Its description in RNAcentral is "long non-coding RNA (ACOM_LNC041742)". The record is from RNAcentral. Lineage: Eukaryota; Viridiplantae; Streptophyta; Magnoliopsida; Poales; Bromeliaceae.
UUAUCGAGUUUUCUGCCGUUAGAAGUUCUCUUUGAUCAUUUUCACCCAUUUGAACAUACUAUUCAAACCAAGCACUCCCUCAACCCUAAAGGACCACUAUUAAUCAGAGACUACUAUCAUUCUAAUCGCACAUCUUUUAUCUAAUGACCAAAAAUUCGAUAGCGUAAAAUGUUUGAUACUAUCGAUAGCAUAGUAGCAUAAUUCUCCACACACACACACACACACACACACACACACACACAUAGAGUGAGGCUACCAUGCUUCUGGAAUUACGGAGCCUUCCGUGCUUCCAGGUCGUUUUUUAUGUUGCGACUUUCGAAUCGUCGAUCGGCUCCGUUAAACUUGAUGUAGAGUAUUUGAAGUACCUAGAAAAUAAAUUAUGCGAUUUUUCGAUAUUAUUUGCCUAGUGAACGAAGGGGCUCAAAAUCAAUGGCUGAAAAUAAAAAUCUUACAAAACGUGAUAAUAUGACAUUAAAAUUUUAGAUCAAAGAUAUUGAUCUUGUUUUAUAUAGUAUAAAGAAUUUUCUACCAAAAUUUUACUUGAUUUGGAUAUUUCUAUACUGUUAAACACGCAAACGGCUCACUACGGCCAUUAAAAUUAUUGAUUUUGAGCCGCUUCGAUCACUAGGCAAAUGAUAUCGAAAAAUUAUAAAAUUUAUUUUCUAGGUACUUCAAAUACUCUAGAUUAAGUUUAAUGGAGCCGAUCGAUGAUUCGAAAGUCGC